GGCCAGUCCCUCCCUGUCUGCACAGACAGUUCUCAAAUGGAAGCUAUUUCCAUCUUCAAACACAAAAACUGCUGAAGCAAAUACUUAAUCAAAAAGACCUAAGCCUGGGGCCCUGUGCAGCUGCACAGAUCACAGUGCGUGUGUGCUCAGUCACUCAGUCGUGUCUGACUCUUUGCAACCCUGUGGGCUGUAGCCCACCAGGCUCCUCUGUCCAAGGGAUUUCCCAGACAAGAAUACCGGAGUGGGUUGCCGUUUCCUCCUCCAGGGGAUCUUCUGACCCAGGAGUCGAACCUGCAUCUCUUGUGUUUCCUGCAUUAGCAGGCAGGUUCUUUACCCCUGAGCCACCAGAUGAGAGACACACCCACAAAGCCAGCCCUUCUCACCUCCAGCAGCGUGCCAAAAAUUAGAAAUGUAAAAUAGGAGGUGGCAACAUACACCAUGAAAACAUCUGGAAGCAGGUGGUAGCUUUUUUCACUCAGCAACCUACGCAGUCGCAAUAAUAACAGCAAUAUUUAUGAAGUCCUGUCCUUGAACCAGAGACAAGGCUCAGACACCAACUCAUCCAACCAUCACAUCCCUGUCUUAACAUAAAAGACAGAAAACUGACCAUCAGAGAGGACAAAAUGAUUGGCUUAGAGAUGGCAUAUGAGACUCAAGUGGACCCAUGAGAUUCAAGGCCAAGACUGGAGCUGGGACCACAGGGGAAGAAAAGCACUAUUUCUGCCAGGGUUGCUGAGUCGGCAAGAAGUGAGCCUGGAGCUGCCAGGGCCAUCCCGGGUACCUGGCGAGGAGACCGGAGCUAACACGGAGGGAAGCACUGAGACAGCAGGAGUGGAAGAGCGUCACAGCGGCGAGGUUUGAGCCCCUGGACGCGGCUGCGCCUGAAGCCACUUUUGGACUUUCCAGCUUCAUGCGCCAGUGAAUUCCCCACUUUGUGAAAGCUUACUUUCAGUUGAGCUUUUCUCGCUGGAAAGCAUCCAGGCUGCCACUAGAAGGUUAAGCAACUUGCCCAAAGCCUGAAAGGCAGCAAGCAGCAGACCUAGGGUUUAGAAGCUUCUAACCAACUGCAGUCAGACCAACAUUCUAUAUUGGGGUAUUCACUGAUUUCACCUCUUUUUACUCGUUUUCUCAUCACAAAAUGGCAUCACACCAGACUUUUAGGACUGUUGGAAAAUACAAAAUGCGAGAUCAGGACCCCCCUGGCAGUCAGUGGUUAAGACUCCACACUUCCUCUGCAGGGGGUGCAGGCUCAAACGCUGGUCAGAGAACUAAGAUGCUAUGUGCCACACAGCCAAAAAAACAAUUCUUUUUUUUUUUUUUUAAGAAAAAGCCAAAAUAAACUAUUUUUAAAAAAUAAAAUGCAACAUCACAGCUAGCAUGUCUGUAACCCAUGCUGAAGCUCUCUCUACACAUCCAGUUUCCGUGCUGCGGGCCUGGGUUUUGUCCCGAGUCAGUUAUCCCAUCUCAGGGAUGGAGAUAACUCAUCUCAGUUAUCCCAUCUCAGGGAUGUGUUUGGCUGUCACCAAAUCAGCCAACUGGUCCAGAUGCCCAAACCUCUUCAGGAGAGCAGCUGUGAAUCUCAGAGGGAAGGGCCGUGUCUCUUCUUGGCUGUGUAUCCUCACUGGCAGACAGAAGGAGUUGGGGGCCCGCAAGGAUUCUAGGGGUCCGAGUCUAUGAGGUAGAAAAAAGCCCUGUUGUCUUGAUUUCUGGAACCUUCCAAGGUCUGGUGGGCCCAUCUGGGAAUGACCUGUAGCUCAAGGAAGACAACACUAAAUCAGAUCGACUUUGUCUCUUUUCUUCAUGCAGUUUACAUGCAGUGGUAGACGAGAACACAGAAAAAUGUAUGAGAUAACACCACGUGGUAACAGUAGGGAGAAAAUAUGUCCUCAAAGGCGGAUUCGGGGCACUGUUUACUCAGGGGCAUUAGAAGGGGCCUCUCUGAGAAAGCGACAUCGCAUCGAAACUACUUUGCUCUCCCCCUGAAUCCCAAGCUCCUAACACUGGUCUACCUCCGAGAAAAAAAGACUGGGAUGGAUUUUUACCAGGAAACUUGCUGACACUGCUAAGUCAGGAGUCAAUGAUCUGCCCGAGGCUUGGUAAAUACCCAUCCUUC
This is a long non-coding RNA of Bos taurus (domestic cattle), 2113 nucleotides long. Lineage: Eukaryota; Metazoa; Chordata; Mammalia; Artiodactyla; Bovidae. The record is from Ensembl.